This 302-nucleotide long non-coding RNA is filed under the name Ananas comosus (pineapple). RNAcentral's name for it is "long non-coding RNA (ACOM_LNC027621)". The record is from RNAcentral. Lineage: Eukaryota; Viridiplantae; Streptophyta; Magnoliopsida; Poales; Bromeliaceae.
AAAAAGAAAGUAUAUAUAUAACAAGGGAGUCCGGCUAUUAUACUCUUAUAAGUAUAAUCUCUUUUAUACUCAUAAAUUUUUGGUCGUUAGAUCUACUCAUUUAAUUAUUUCCACCUGUUAGAUCAUACUAUUCAACCAACUACCUACUCAACCCUAGGAGAUCACUAUUAAUCUAACUGGGGACCACUAUCAUUCUAACCACACAUUUUUUCAUCCAAUAGUCGAAAAUUUAUAAGUAUAAAAGGGGGUAUACUCAUAAAAGUAUGGUAGCCCUAGCCUAUAACAAUGUCACAUAAAAUAAG